RNAcentral lists this ribosomal RNA (965 nucleotides) under Myxilla fimbriata. RNAcentral describes it as "SSU rRNA". It matches the Rfam family "Eukaryotic small subunit ribosomal RNA", at positions 41 to 1001 of the family's 1831-position model. The record is from RNAcentral. Lineage: Eukaryota; Metazoa; Porifera; Demospongiae; Poecilosclerida; Myxillidae.
AGACUAAGCCAUGCAUGUCUAAGUAUAAACGCUUCUGUACUGUGAAACUGCGAAUGGCUCAUUAAAUCAGUUAUAGUUUAUUUGAUGGUUGCUUUGCUACUUGGAUAACCGUAGUAAUUCUAGAGCUAAUACAUGCAGAAAAAUCCCGACUUCUGGAAGGGAUGUAUUUAUUAGAUCCAAAACCGGCGCGGGUUCCUUUCGGGGUCCCGGUUGCUUGGCGAUUCAUGAUAACUGCUCGAACCGUAUGGCCUCCGAGCCGACGGUGCUUCAUUCAAAUUUCUGCCCUAUCAACUUUCGAUGGUACGGUAGUGGCCUACCAUGGUUGCAACGGGUGACGGAGAAUUAGGGUUCGAUUCCGGAGAGGGAGCCUGAGAGACGGCUACCACAUCUAAGGAAGGCAGCAGGCGCGCAAAUUACCCAAUCCCGACUCGGGGAGGUAGUGACAAUAAAUAACAAUGCCGGGCUAUAGUAGUCUGGCAAUUGGAAUGAGUACAAUCUAAACCCCUUAACGAGGAACAAUUGGAGGGCAAGUCUGGUGCCAGCAGCCGCGGUAAUUCCAGCUCCAAUAGCGUAUAUUAAAGUUGUUGCAGUUAAAAAGCUCGUAGUUGGAUUUCGGGGCGGCCUGGCUGGUCCGUCGCAAGACGAGUACUGGUCAGCCGCCCUUCCUCUCGAAAGCCCCGACUGCUCUUCGUUGCAGUGGUCGGGUAGUUCGGGACGUUUACUUUGAAAAAAUUAGAGUGUUCAAGGCAGGCUCUCGCCUGAAUACAUUAGCAUGGAAUAAUGGAAAAGGACCUCGGUCCUAUUUUGUUGGUUUCUGGGGCCGAAGUAAUGAUUAAGAGGGACAGUUGGGGGCAUUCGUAUUUAAUUGUCAGAGGUGAAAUUCUCGGAUUUAUGAAAGACGAACGACUGCGAAAGCAUUUGCCAAGGAUGUUUUCAUUAAUCAAGAACGAAAGUUAGGGGUUCGA